AUGAUUCUUUUCAAGAAAUAAGGAUCUUCGCUUCCGCUCGUUUGACGGUAGAAGACAAAAUAAAAAUGUUGGAUUUCAUGAAAAAAUUUCGAGAAAACGAACUGGGAUUUAGUUGCGGUGGUUUUUUCGUUGUGUCGAAAGGAUGUCCGGUAAAGGUAUACAGUUCGCUCUAUUCUGCCUUCAACGUUCUGAUGCAAAUUCGGGACAUUUUGAAAGGUGGAGAUGACAAGUGCAUUUCUUUCGUUGCGCACAUUUUAAAUUUAUCUAAAAAUUCCACUUUGUUGCAAAAAUAAUCGCUAAUAAUUACCAUUUACGGAAUAUUGUAAACAUUUUACUUGAUUUCAACACUAAUUAUUGUAGAAAAUUAAAUCGGUUUGAACGUUUCAUUUUUCAAGCCUUAGAAAAUAAAAUUAAACAUUAUAUUAUAUAUAACUAACAGUAUUUAUUCUGUAU
RNAcentral lists this long non-coding RNA (453 nucleotides) under Centruroides sculpturatus (bark scorpion). Its description in RNAcentral is "uncharacterized LOC111616064". The record is from RNAcentral. Lineage: Eukaryota; Metazoa; Arthropoda; Arachnida; Scorpiones; Buthidae.